CGAGUUGGCUGGGCGGUCGCGGCUCAACGGAACCACAGCGUUCCGGUGGGUCGAGGAAAGUCCGGACUUCACAGAGCAGGGUGAUUGCUAACGGCAAUCCGAGGUGACUCGCGGGACAGUGCCACAGAGAACAGACCGCCUCCGGUUCCGGAUUUUCGGGGCCGGCGGUAAGGGUGAAACGGUGCGGUAAGAGCGCACCAGCACCCCGGGUGACCGGGGUGGCUAGGUAAACCCCACCCGAAGCAAGGCCAAGAGGCCGCAUCCGUGCGGCUGCGCAGGCGCCCGAGGGCUGCUCGCCCGAGUCUGCGGGUAGGCCGCUUGAGGUACCCGGCGACGGUGUGCCCAGAUGGAUGGUCGCCGCCGCUGCGCCCGGCGCAGCGGAACAGGAUCCGGCUUACAGGCCAGCUCGUCCG
RNAcentral lists this RNase P RNA (413 nucleotides) under Actinomycetes bacterium. RNAcentral's name for it is "RNase P RNA component class A". It matches the Rfam family "Bacterial RNase P class A". Rfam says of the family: Ribonuclease P (RNase P) is a ubiquitous endoribonuclease, found in archaea, bacteria and eukarya as well as chloroplasts and mitochondria. Its best characterised activity is the generation of mature 5'-ends of tRNAs by cleaving the 5'-leader elements of precursor-tRNAs. Lineage: Bacteria; Bacillati; Actinomycetota; Actinomycetes. The record is from RNAcentral.